This 406-nucleotide ribosomal RNA is filed under the name uncultured bacterium. RNAcentral's name for it is "partial 16S ribosomal RNA". It matches the Rfam family "Bacterial small subunit ribosomal RNA", at positions 29 to 526 of the family's 1533-position model. The record is from RNAcentral.
AUUGAACGCUGGCGGCAGGCCUAACACAUGCAAGUCGAACGAGUGGCGGACGGGUGAGUAAUGUCUGGGAAACUGCCUGAUGGAGGGGGAUAACUACUGGAAACGGUAGCUAAUACCGCAUACCAUCGGAUGUGCCCAGAUGGGAUUAGCUAGUAGGUGGGGUAAAGGCUCACCUAGGCGACGAUCCCUAGCUGGUCUGAGAGGAUGACCAGCAACACGGGGACUGAGACGCGGUCAAGACGCCGACGGGAGGCAGCAGUGGGGAAUAGUGCACAAGGGGCGCAAGCCGGAUGCAGCCAUGCGGCGUGUGUGAAGGAGGCCUUCGGGUUGUAAAGUACUUUCAGCGGGGAGGCGUUACCCGCAGAAGAAGCACCGGCUAACUCCGUGCAAGCAGCCGCGGUAAUAC